RNAcentral lists this ribosomal RNA (626 nucleotides) under Pessonella sp. PRA-29. RNAcentral describes it as "partial Bacterial small subunit ribosomal RNA". It matches the Rfam family "Bacterial small subunit ribosomal RNA", at positions 11 to 659 of the family's 1533-position model. Lineage: Eukaryota; Discosea; Flabellinia; Vannellidae. The record is from RNAcentral.
GUUUGAUCCUGGCUCAGAGUGAAUGCUAGUGGCAGGCUUAACAUAUGCAAGUCUAACGGACUUUUGUUAAAAAAGUAAGUGGCGUACGGGUGAGUAAUACAAAGGAAUAAUGUAAAUUAGACUGGUAAAAGAGAAUGAAAAUUUUUUAUAAAUACCGGAUAAAAAAAAUUUCUUGUUGAAAUAUUUUUAAAAAUUAUAUUGCUAGUUUACAAGCUUUUGUAGGAUUAGGUAGUUGGUUGUUUAAAAGACUACCAAGCCGAUGAUCCUUAGCUGGUUUUAGAAGAAUGAACAGUCACACUGGGACUGAAAAAGGCCCAGACUUCCAUGGAGGGCAGCAGUGAGGAAUAUUGGACAAUGGGCGCAAGCUUGAUCCAGCUAUGCCAAAUAGGUGAAGACGGUUAUUUUAAUUGUAAAACCUUAAUGUUAAGAAAGAUAAUGACAUUACUUAAAGUAGGAGUCCCGGCUAACUUCGUGCCAGCAGCCGCGGUAAUACGAAGGUCCCAAGCGUUGUUCGGAUUUACUGGGCGUAAAGCGUCUGUAGGCGGUGGGGUAAGUCAGAUGUGAAAUCCCGGGGCUCAACCUCGGAACUGCAUCCGAUACUGCCUCACUAGAGGGUCGGAGGGGAG